UUGUUGGGUAGGGGAGCGUUCUGUAAGCCGUUGAAGGUGACCUGUGAGGGUUGCUGGAGGUAUCAGAAGUGCGAAUGCUGACAUAAGUAACGAUAAUGCGGGUGAAAAACCCGCACGCCGGAAGACCAAGGGUUCCUGUCCAACGUUAAUCGGGGCAGGGUGAGUCGACCCCUAAGGCGAGGCUGAAAAGCGUAGUCGAUGGGAAACAGGUUAAUAUUCCUGUACUUGGUGUUACUGCGAAGGGGGGACGGAGAAGGCUAGGCUGGCCGGGCGACGGUUGUCCCGGUUUAAGCGUGUAGGGGGAGUGACCAGGUAAAUCCGGUUGCUUAUCAACCCUGAGGCGUGAUGACGAUGCACCACGGUGCAGAAGCAGUUGAUGCCAUGCUUCCAGGAAAAGCCUCUAAGCAUCAGGUAACAUUAAAUCGUACCCCAAACCGACACAGGUGGUCAGGUAGAGAAUACUCAGGCGCUUGAGAGAACUCGGGUGAAGGAACUAGGCAAAAUGGUGCCGUAACUUCGGGAGAAGGCACGCUGGCGUUAGGUGAAAGGACUAGCUCCUGGAGCUGAAGCCAGUCGCAGAUACCAGCUGGCUGCAACUGUUUAAUAAAAACACAGCACUGUGCAAACACGAAAGUGGACGUAUACAGUGUGACGCCUGCCCGGUGCUGGAAGGUUAAUUGAUGGGGUCAGCCGCAAGGCGAAGCUCUUGAUCGAAGCCCCAGUAAACGGCGGCCGUAACUAUAACGGUCCUAAGGUAGCGAAAUUCCUUGUCGGGUAAGUUCCGACCUGCACGAAUGGCGUAAUGAUGGCCAGGCUGUCUCCACCCGAGACUCAGUGAAAUUGAACUCGCUGUGAAGAUGCAGUGUACCCGCGGCAAGACGGAAAGACCCCGUGAACCUUUACUAUAGCUUGACACUGAACAUUGAGCCUUGAUGUGUAGGAUAGGUGGGAGGCCUUGAAGUGUGGACGCCAGUCUGCAUGGAGCCAACCUUGAAAUACCACCCUUUAAUGUUUGAUGUUCUAACUCGGCCCCAUGAUCUGGGGUGAGGACAGUGUCUGGUGGGUAGUUUGACUGGGGCGGUCUCCUCCCAAAGAGUAACGGAGGAGCACGAAGGUUAGCUAAUCACGGUCGGACAUCGUGAGGUUAGUGCAAAGGCAUAAGCUAGCUUGACUGCGAGAGUGACGGCUCGAGCAGGUACGAAAGUAGGUCUUAGUGAUCCGGUGGUUCUGAAUGGAAGGGCCAUCGCUCAACGGAUAAAAGGUACUCCGGGGAUAACAGGCUGAUACCGCCCAAGAGUUCAUAUCGACGGCGGUGUUUGGCACCUCGAUGUCGGCUCAUCACAUCCUGGGGCUGAAGUAGGUCCCAAGGGUAUGGCUGUUCGCCAUUUAAAGUGGUACGCGAGCUGGGUUUAGAACGUCGUGAGACAGUUCGGUCCCUAUCUGCCGUGGGCGUUGGAAGAUUGAGAGGGGCUGCUCCUAGUACGAGAGGACCGGAGUGGACGAAUCACUGGUGUUCGGGUUGUCAUGCCAAUGGCAUUGCCCGGUAGCUAAAUUCGGAAGAGAUAACCGCUGAAAGCAUCUAAGCGGGAAACUUGCCUCGAGAUGAGUCUUCCCUGGGGCUUAAAGCCCCCUGAAGGAACGUUAAAGACUAUGACGUUGAUAGGCUGGGUGUGUAAGUGCAGCGAUGUAUUGAGCUAACCAGUACUAAUGAUCCGUGAGGCUUAACC
This 1727-nucleotide ribosomal RNA is filed under the name Yersinia pestis I1991001. RNAcentral's name for it is "bacterial LSU rRNA". It matches the Rfam family "Bacterial large subunit ribosomal RNA", at positions 1221 to 2925 of the family's 2925-position model. Lineage: Bacteria; Pseudomonadati; Pseudomonadota; Gammaproteobacteria; Enterobacterales; Yersiniaceae. RNAcentral also lists the same sequence under 7 other names. The record is from RNAcentral.